GGUCACCACAAGAGCUCCAUUGCCAUGCAAUAUGGGGGGUAUGGGUUUACAUUUCUUGAAUGAUAGGUAACAGCUGAACACGCUUCGAAUGGAAAGAGAUAAUGUUGUAUACAUAAAAUAAAAAAAGCCAACAAAAAAUGAUUCAGAUUAUCUCCAUACUGGAAACCAUGUCAGAUUGGUGAAAACAAGCUUAAGUGUAUAUUUUACUGCCAAAUACCUGAUGUAUACUUCAAAAAUACCAGCAAUUUUCUAGGAAGAUAGACGUUGCUUAACCAUAUGGUUUAAUAAAUAUUCUGUUAUUGUGAA
This is a long non-coding RNA of Canis lupus familiaris (dog), 306 nucleotides long. RefSeq lists it as uncharacterized. NCBI's taxonomy places the organism in Eukaryota, Metazoa, Chordata, Mammalia, Carnivora, Canidae. The record is from RefSeq and is a predicted model, not a curated record. The transcript is spliced from 2 exons.